AACACUAGGAACACCUUUACUUUAAAUAAUAAAAAAAUUUUUCAUCUAAGUGAAAAGACUUAGAUAAUAAAGGAAGACGAAAAGACCCCGCGGAGCUUUACCUUUUCCUGUACUUCUGUUUAUACACUUAAAUGUACUAGAG
Molecule: ribosomal RNA, 142 nt
Filed under: Sinanodonta ogurae
Lineage: Eukaryota; Metazoa; Mollusca; Bivalvia; Unionida; Unionidae
Description: partial 16S ribosomal RNA
Source: RNAcentral